AUAAAUUUGUGGCUUAUAUGUCCAAAACAUUGUUCUUGUAAAUAAUUUUCCAAUUAAAUAACUUCAACAACUCAAAAAACAUAGCGUCAUUAAUUUGGGGUUUUUUCACAUAAAGAAGGAUACGAAGAAAAAAAAAGCAUACUAAUAAAAAUUAAUAUUUGGUAGGGUAGCCCUUUUGCUUAAGAACGUCAUUUAAGAAUUUUGACAUAUUUUGUACAAUUUUUCUUGUGUAGGAAACAAGAGUCUUACUCCAUUAUCCUUUAUAGUUUAUUUUCCAGAUCUUGGACGGAAGGGAUUGGCUAUUCUCGCUGAUGGCGGUCUAGUUUAUCCCACAUAUUUUUCAUGGGAUUUAUGGAUGGUGAUUGGGGAAGAGGAUGAAGCACUUUGGAACAGUUAUAUAAGAUUUUGUCGGACAGUUACUAAGAUUCUUAGAUAAGUGGAACACUUAUGCUUGAGGUCGUUUUCUUGGUAGAACUUAAAUGUUUUCAAAAUACCAAGUUUAUCCGCACCUUCUAUCAAAUUUUCCUUCAAUAUCCUUAAGUAACUCUCCUUGUUUAAAAGGCCAUAAUAGGAAACUAAGACGCGAGCGAAAAACCCCAAUAUUAAUCAAACUCACUCUAAUUAUAAAAAAAUAUAAAAAUACAUGAAAUAAAAUAAUUUCUAAAAACUGGAAAGAAAAAUUGUGAAGAAACUUUGCAAAACGACAAUGCUAGCCAUGAAAACUCAGCUUUUCAAAAGGCACGACAUAAAUGUUUCAAGCCAUAUAAGAGACCUACAUUGAAUAAGGCUUUUAAAACACAAAGUGUACAAAAAGUUGUAUGCCAAUUGUUUGGAAAGGAAAGCGUGCAAUUUAGAAGUCGCCGACAAAUGAGUUCGUGAUAUAGCGACGCUCUUAAGAUAGGAACCUUUCAAUAAAUGCCAGUUGCCGUUAGCUUACCAAAGAUUAUUGAGUGGUUGAAUAUGAAAUUGUCUAUAUUAAUUACCUGCAUUUAUCUUACUUUAUUUUUGCGUUUGUAAUGCCUUCGGAGUAUAUUUGUAUUGACGUGUCUUAUAAGACAGAUGGAUCUUAGAAUUAUUUUAGUUGUUUCUUUAUAUAGAUAUUUUUAUUAGAUAUCUAAUAUUAUAUAUUUUUACUUAAAAAAAAAAGUCCUCAGUUUCUUUUUAUAACGAGAGGAAAGUAGAUUGAAGGUAGUCUUCGGACAUAACUUCGGGGUCUCCCAUGAAAAUCAUGGGCCGAAGGAUACGAUAGGCAGAGCACGUAUAGAAAGGCGCGGAGGCACAGUGGAUGCCCGUUCGGCGGGUUAGGUUACGUCCGUGCGUGUAUUCCUUAAAGGGUAAGUACGCUCUGUUCUUUUACUUGUAACGGCCUCAGGAGUGUCAAGGAGCAAAAAAUAUAAAACCUCCUACGUUUCAUGAACUAGUUACCUCAGCAAAGGCAAGUUCAUCGGUCUCACACACGUAAAAUUCUCGUAAAGUGGCACUUUGGGGUUGCCCUAAAAUUUAAUUCAUUUAAUCGUUUUUUAUACGCAGACAGGAAGAAUAUAGAGCAGCGUUACGAUGUACGGGGCCUAUUGCCUCAAGUAUCCGGCAGAGGCACUGAAAACGAAUCACUGCAGUUGUACCUUCUAUAAUGUGCUCUGUUUUGUUUGUGGAAACAAUGGGCGUUAUUGCCAAUUUUAUCCGACAGGAAAUGUCAGGCUGAAAGCGAAGUACGAAGGUUUUUGCCAGACAGGCUCACAGCUGGAAACCCAUAUAUUGCAAAGAGCGAUAGUCAACUAUUCAUUAAAACCUAAUGCAAAGUCAACUAAAGUCAUCAUAAUCGCUACACAAGCUGGUGAUGACAAACCUUUUGCCAAGAUCAAGAUAGACGGCAAAAAAUCCAUCGCAGUAUUGGAUACUGUUUUUAGCUUUAGUUGUUGUAGAGCUUUAGUGAUAGACCUUUUAAAAGAACACCAAUUUAAAAUCGUUAAACCAAAAUCUCAACAAGUUUAAAUAACGAAUGCAACUGAAACGCCUGUAAAUGGUAGAAUUACCUUACUUGUCGUAUGGAGAGAAGAGGUACGUGACCUAAAAUCCUUAAUAGUUGCAGGCUUACAACGAGAAUUCUAUAUCGGCAUUAAUUUCUGAAAGGCUUUUCGUUUAACUGCGGCAGUUAAAUCAGAUCAUUCAGCUAAUUAUUACGCUUGUAAUUAAAUAAUGGAGAUAAUAAGCCAGACACAUUUUUGAGCGUAGCUCACGAACUUCCUGUCCCACAUCCGAACUUUUUAGAAAAAAUCAAUCAAUCUUUUCCAUAUUUUGAGAUACUAGAACUUGGCAAAACGCUUUUUGAAAAACAUGAAAUCACUACCACUGAAAAAUAUCUACCUACAAAACAAAAAUAUUAUGUUAUUUCCUCAGCGAUUCAAAAAUUGGUACAAAAAUUGAAAAGCGCGACGGCAGUUGGCAUUUACCAGUUACUUUGGUACGAAGGAGCACUAAAAAUUGUUUAUGUUUAAAUGAACGAUCGACCUGUGAAAUAUGCUUGUUCGUUGGCACACAUAGAUGGUUUACUCGGUCGCUUACAUGGUGCUGGUUACAUAACAGCUAUUGAUUUAAAAGACGCAUUCUGGUAAAUACCGUUGGAGGAGAUAUGACGCGGAAGGUCAGUGUUCAUAGUAGGCGGAAGACCAUUGUGUCAGUUACCGCUAAGGCCCUUUUGUUUAUGUAAAAUGCGACAGUGAAUGUAGGCUAAUGGAUUAUAUUAUACCUAGCUACUUGCUCGCUUAUUUUUGUAUAUUUGGAUGACAUAUUGGUUUUUACCAAAUUUUGUUGCAUCAAGCAGAUUGCUUGUCUGUAGUGGGUGCCGAAAGUUUGAAAGCGAAUCGGGAGAAUCUAAAUGCAAUAAACAAUACGAAACAACAGCGAAACAUUUAAGAAGGUUCCUUGGUAUGACUAGGUGGUACCGUAGAUUUAUUCGAAAUUACGCGGCGAUAGCUGUACAUCUACAUGACUGUCUCACGAAAAAUCGGUAAACGGUGUACUCGUUAAUAGAUCACACAUAACAUGCGGAGAGUUGACGAACUGUUUUGUUACACAGUCUCUGUGUAUAAGAUGAACCUGUGUAUAAAAGGCCAGGUUUUUGAACAAGAGAUGAAAUAUUUGAUGAAAAUAUCAGGAAAUUAAGUACGUACAGAGUUUAAAGGUAAGUAUUAUUGGCCUGGGAGGACAUCAGAUUGAAAUAAAAUAGUGAGCUGUAAAUUGGCUCGUCCGAAUAUAAUUUUUGCGUACACAUUCAUAUCACCAGCGAUACCGGUGGAUCGCAGCUGCAAUUUUCGCGCAUAUAAGUGUAGGGGGUUUCGGUUGGCCGGUAUUUACCAUUGUCCUUUGCGAAAAUGGCAAUAAACUGUAAAUUUAUGUUUUUCUUUUUGUAAUUGGCUAUUUUAAAAGCUAAAGCAAGAGACAGGAAAUAUUAAAAAAGAAAAAAAUUCCAAAGUCUGUCUGUAUAAUACAUAACUUGAGAUUAUUGGUUCUCCUUGUUAUACACCACGCACACAAAGCCAUAAACGGACUUAGACAUAGGAUAGUUUCAUUUUUCUCAACAAGCGAAAAGACGGAUUAGCUUGAACUAUAGAUGUGAAUACAUCACGCGGCCAAUCUCAAGUUUUAAGUAAUGAAUUUCCCACAUAAAAGUUUACUUCUUUUUUUUCAAAUAAUCCAAAUAAUUUUUGGAAAUAUUUAAAAGUUAAAAAUACAUAUAUUUAAAAUUUAUUCACUUACAGCUUAAAACUAGAUAAAACACAUAAUACUCAAAAUUUAAGUAAUUAAAACUUAAAAUUAAUUAAGGCACAUUUACUUAAAAUAUAAUUAGUUGAAGCUCAAAUAAAAACAUAGAAGUAAUUGAAUAUAUAUACUAUAAAUUGGUGUAAAAACAACUUAAAACAUAAACUCAUAAGAGUUAAUGCUGGUUAAAAACCAUUAAAUAAAAACUACAAAGAAAUUCAGAUAGUUUUGUAAAGCAUCGUACGGGUAACAAUAGGACAAUUUUUCUUGUGCUAACGGAAAUGAGGGUAAGUUUAUGAAAUAUCCCUUGCUGAGAUUACAAAGAUUAAAAGGAAAACGAGUGGAAAAGAUAAACAACACGGUUGAAGCCUAUAAAGGAAAUUUAUGAAAGAAAUUAUCCAUCCAUCCAAUUUGCUGAUCUGCAAAGCCAGUCAGCAGCAGCAUCGUCACCGACAAUCACAACAGAGAUCAGCAAUAGGAUUUUUCCUUCGGAGCAGUUUCAACAUCGUCGGCAGGGUUGAGCAUAGAAAUAAAUGUACCAUUUCACACUCAAGUAAACAACAACAAAAUGCAAGUGACAGGAGCGCGACCUAAAGCACAACCAGUAACAUCGACAUUUCCAUUUAGUAAAAUUCGACACUUUAAUUUCCAUUUAAUAAAUUUCAAGAAAAAUCAACAGUAAAUUAACAAAAUGCUACAUCGCAAGUGGAUUUGCAACUAAACAGCAGCAAUGUUUGCAAGAGGAAUUCUUCGAAAGAAAAGUACCAAAUUUUAUUGGAAAUUGAUGGAAGUGUCUAAUCACAACAAAAUCCUUUAAAUACAAAGUAUAACAGGUACUUUGUCCAUGGUCCUACGCCAACCCAACUGGCUGUAUUUAUUUAUUUACUUAUACAUGAAAUUCAACGAAGCCAAAUUAACAGUCGAAUUCAAGUAAAUCUUAAUAGUAAAUCUUAUACUAAUUACCUCAAAAGGCAACCGGGUCCCAACCCAAACUCCUUAGGGCAAACAGCAAGGAUUGCUUCUGAAAAAAUUCAAUUGAAUCUACAUACCACCUAUCGGAGGGUGACUCCUGAACAGAGGCAUACUCAAGUAUUUGUCUAACCAAAAACCUGUACAGCCUUUUCGUAAUAUAGGGAUCAUCAAGCUCUAUAGACCACCUCUUUACAAAACCAUGCGCGGAUCCAGCUAGCUAGCUAGGAUCCGUGUGAGAAGCAAUUGAGCGAGAUUUGCAAAAUAUACUACUUACAAUGGUGCUAAAGGUAAUUAACACCUUGAGAAUGUACCUUAGAUGCCCGAAACACAUUUUAGAAGGAUUAAUUGAAAAGGCAAGAAAAUAUUUCCGUCGACAGAUAAGCUGAAGUCGAUGAUUUAUUUUGCAUUUUGUGCCACCUUGAAGACUUGCAAAAUGGACACACAUAAGAAUAAACCGAUGUUGGUAAAAGGACUUGCGGGUAAGCUGUCGAGCCAAUAUAAAUUAUAUUGGACUAUGUACACUGAAAAUAAUCGGAUGGCAAUUAUAAAAACAUUUAGUGAGUGGAUCUUCUGAAUCGCUGGUAGAAGAACAAUCGCCAUCUGAAAUAAGAUAUUGCAUACAGACAGGACAUAGUGAAGGUGAACAAUUUAUAUCGCACUUUUUUGAACAAAACUGAAGUGAAUAGAAUGUAGCGUUAAAGGCUGCACUAUAAAGCUUUAUAAGCUGAUGUAUAAUUAUGUCAACGAUCCAGCAUCGUCGUCUUCGCAGAAAUAAAUUUUUGCAAAAUCAAGUAAAGCAUUAAGUAAAACAAUUACAUAUUCGACAUCAGAGUGAAACACAGAAACAUUUUUAGAAUUUUACCAAUUCGACUUCAUUUUCCAAGUGCGUCUAGAAUGGACCAUUCAGGUCUACAGUGGCAACUCUAAAGGAUUUAAGUGGUUAAAUAUUGAUUAUUGUGACUGCGAAAGCAAUUAUAAUGAAUUGCAUAAAAUGGUAAACGAGGAGUUUCUAUUUAAAAGGCUCAACUAAGAAAUCAUUACAUUACACUACACCAUAUAACAUGUCAAAAAUUCGACGCAUAUUACGUCUGCACGUAAGAAUAAAGUAGCGUUGAAUCGUACUAGUGGCAGGCCUUUGAGGCAAGUCCAUAAAUUCACAAGGUUUAAAGAAAGGACUCUAGCGACCUUUGGAACAAUUGCUGCUAAUUGAUUGCCAAAUGUUUUUGGGUAUAGGUGUUCCAUUGGGGUUCGAUCUAAUGGAUACAAAUAAAAUGCAACAUGAAAUAGCGCAACACCUUGAAUAAACACCUAAGUCUUGAUUUGAGGACGUCGAAUCACUUUUCAAUUAUAUUACGCACUUUUCCGUAGAUUUUUUAAAUUUCUCUUCCCUCACAUUAGUUGUCUCGGCUAAAGGUGUCAUUAGCUACGUUUCUCUCGAAUAACCCGAGUCUGCAAUCCGAGUGGUAGAAUACCGGGAACUACACAUAGAUAUGCGAAAAUUGAAGUUCAUGAUCGCAAACCUUUCAAAUAACGAAAAAAAGAAUAAGUAACAUACAUCUUUAAACUAAAACUUAAUUAACGUAUAGUUUCAUCAUUUAAAUUAUAAUAUACCUUUCUGUUCAUACAUUGUAACCAGGCUUUGUAUAUCUAUCAAACUUAGUUUUAUGUAACCCCAUCAUUACAUCUAUUGCAUUUAACCAAUGUGCUAGUAAGUCUAACUAUGUCCUCUUAUAUCUGAAACUGUUAUCUAAAUAAUCUUUAGGGCAACGUUGCAGUGUCGCUAUAUGAUGAUUACAGGCCUAUGACUCAUGCGCACUAGUCUUAGCUGAGCUAGCUAGUUCGUCAGAUGUAGAAAGACUUUUUAUCUUUGCUCACAGAUAUUCUUUGGACGAUUACCACCAGAAGAAAUUGCACGUGGUUGCAAACCCGAAGGCGGUACAAACACAAAAAUAAAGUUGAAUUAGUACAGCAACCAGCUCCCAUCACGAACAUCACGGGCGCCGGAACAUAUUGGCCGGCAUCGUCUAAGUUGAACACUUUCCUUUUCUAUCCUUCAUUUAAGCUGAAUUCGUACAUCUUUGCUUACAAAUUAAUUAUUAACCAAAUUUGUUUUCCUCUUUCUUACUGAAACUUUAUACAAUUCUUUUUCUUUCAUUUUGAUUCACUUUUAAAGAAGUUUCUUUUUCUCAUCCCUUUAUUUUUCUGUUUCCUUAAAUGUAUUUGCUUUGUAUUAGCAUACCACGACGUAGAAAGUGUUAAAUUGUUUUUUUUAUUGUUGUGACACUGAAUUGUGGGUAAGGACGAUUAUGUUUAUGACAACAUCCACAUCGUUCCUGGUGGAAUAGUUGCAACUAGUAAGUGCAUAAAUUAUAUAAAUUGGAAUACUAAUAAAAGGAUAUUUUUUUACCCAAAAAACCAUACUUUGAAUUUUUUAAUCCAUAUUUUUCAUCAAUCGUUAGAGAGCGAAUUUUAGUAGAUUCUACAUACAGAAUUAAUCUGCGAAUAUACUUUGUACUUCUUGAAAUUGAUGGCUGCUUUACUUGAAUUGACUAAUUGUUUGCUACACGCUUCUGAUAGGACCCACGAGCCAAAAAUAUAACACUGAAAAAAGCUGUUUGAUAUUGAUAAAUAAAAUGGACUUCUGUAGAAAGAAUACAAGUUCAUCACUCGAAUUCCAAAGGGCAAAGUAGUGAUCGUCAAGCGCCACCAAAUCCUUCAUGAUAUACCAUAGCAUCGUUUUAGGAAAUGUAAAAAGUCGCAUGGAGACCUAAUCUUGAAGCAGAAACCAGUUCUUCUUAUCCUUAAACGUUUCAGCAAUCCUUUACGCUGCAAUCUAAUGAAAUUGAUUAAUAAAAAGAUAGUACUAAAUGCCUUUUUUACUGCUUCCUUUCCGUAUUUAUCACAAAAUCAUACAAAAACAUUGUGAUUGUAUCUUAUUCUAAAUUACAUAUUCUUUUACAAUAUCCUCAAAUUUUUAAAAGUUUUGUCAGUAUACUGUUGAACUACGCUCUGUUAUUAUAAUAACAAUGCACUGUGAUCUGGUGAAAAUUAGAUCGCACACCAUGUCGUAUUUUCGUAGUCUCCAUAUUUAUGCUAAAAUGUCAGAAUACUAUGCUAGAAUGUCACUAUUAUCGCUUCGCCUAACAUCGGAUGAUGCCUAAGCUGACACUGCCAUCUUCUAUGCGUAAGAUUUAGUGGUCCUACUGUUAUCCAGAGAUGACGCCUAAGCUGAGAUUGCCAUCGCCUAUCCGUAGUCAAAAAAAUGUCCCAGUCGGUAAUGUCAAGUACAAACGAGUAUGUUGUCUGCGAUUCCUUACCUCUGGCUGCUGUAACAAGACUGAAAGAAUGAGCGUAUUACGACACGCUCUUUUGUUGUCGCGGUCACCAUCGCUGUCCUGUUACAUAGAGUGUUGUGCUGCACUUGUGUUGCAAUCUCAACACUUACUUUUAUAUGUGUUAUAAUGAUACUCUUACAUACAUCUUAUUAUUAAUGCUAUCUUAGGUACCAAAUCGCAUGAUCGAACAUGUAUGAAAGCCAUUAAUCCCUACUUAACAAGAACAACUCAAUGUGCUAGCUUUGGCAUAUUGAAGUAACUGUUAAUAUACAAGUAUGGCAAUAACUGUAAA
Glossina fuscipes is the source of this 8358-nucleotide long non-coding RNA. RefSeq lists it as uncharacterized. The transcript has 4 exons. The record is from RefSeq and is a predicted model, not a curated record. NCBI's taxonomy places the organism in Eukaryota, Metazoa, Arthropoda, Insecta, Diptera, Glossinidae.